RNAcentral lists this ribosomal RNA (292 nucleotides) under uncultured bacterium. RNAcentral describes it as "partial 16S ribosomal RNA". It matches the Rfam family "Bacterial small subunit ribosomal RNA", at positions 505 to 796 of the family's 1533-position model. The record is from RNAcentral.
GUGUCAGCCGCCGCGGUAAUACGUAGGGACCAAGCGUUGUUCGGAUUUACUGGGCGUAAAGGGAGCGUAGGCGGCAAUUCAAGUCAGUUGUGAAAUCUUCGAGCUUAACUCGGAACGGUCAACUGAUACUGCUUUGCUAGAGUACAGAAGGGGCAAUCGGAAUUCUUGGUGUAGCGGUGAAAUGCGUAGAUAUCAAGAGGAACACCUGAGGUGAAGACGGGUUGCUGGGCUGAUACUGACGCUGAGGCUCGAAAGCUAGGGUAGCAAACGGGAUUAGAAACCCCCGUAGUCC